RNAcentral lists this ribosomal RNA (484 nucleotides) under uncultured bacterium. Its description in RNAcentral is "partial 16S ribosomal RNA". It matches the Rfam family "Bacterial small subunit ribosomal RNA", at positions 30 to 507 of the family's 1533-position model. The record is from RNAcentral.
AUUGAACGCUGGCGGCAGGCCUAACACAUGCAAGUCGAGCGGAUGAAGGGAGCUUGCUCCUGGAUUCAGCGGCGGACGGGUGAGUAAUGCCUAGGAAUCUGCCUGGUAUUGGGUUAUAACGUCCGUUAACGGGCGCUAAUACCGCAUACGUCCUUAUGUAGAAAGUUGGGGAUCUUCGGACCUCACGCUAUCAUAUUAGCCUAGGUCGGAUUAGCUAGUUGGUGGGGUAAAGGCCUACCAAGGCCACGAUCCGUAACUGGUCUGAGAGGAUGAUCAGUCACACUGGAACUGAGACACGGUCCAGACUACUACGGGAGGCAGCAGUGGGGAAUAUUGGACAAUGGGCGAAAGACUGAUACAGCCAUGCCGCGUGUGUGAAGAAGGUCUUCGGAUUGUAAAGCACUUUAAGUUGGGAGGAAGGGAAGUAAGUUAAUACCUUGCUGUUUUGACGUUACCAACAGAAUAAGCACCGGCUAACUUCGUG